AGCAGCCGCGGUAAUUCCAGCUCCAAUAGCGUAUAUUAAAGUUGUUGCAAUUAAAAAGCUCGUAGUUGAAUUUCGGGGUCAGUAAGUUGGUCGUGCCACUGGUAUGUACUGGCUUUACUGAUUCCUCCUUCUUGUAGAACCGUAAUGCCAUUAAGUUGGUGUUGCGGGGAAACAGGACUGUUACUUUGAAAAAAUUAGAGUGUUUAAAGCAAGCUAACGCUUGAAUACAUUAGCAUGGAGUAAUGAAAUAGGACGCUCGAUCCUAUUUUGUUGGUUUCUAGGAUUGACGUAAUGAUUAAUAGGGAUAGUUGGGGGCAUUAGUAUUCAAUUGUCAGAGGUGAAAUUCUUGGAUUUAUUGAAGACUAACUACUGCGAAAGCAUUUGCCAAGGAUGUUUUCAUUAAUCAAGAACGAAAGUUAGGGGAUCGAAGACGAUCAGAUACCGUCGUAGUCUUAACCAUAAACUAUGCCGACUAGGGAUCGGAUGAUGUUAAUUUUUAAUGACUCAUUCGGCGCCUUAC
RNAcentral lists this ribosomal RNA (520 nucleotides) under uncultured Glomus. RNAcentral describes it as "SSU rRNA". It matches the Rfam family "Eukaryotic small subunit ribosomal RNA", at positions 569 to 1091 of the family's 1831-position model. Lineage: Eukaryota; Fungi; Glomeromycota; Glomeromycetes; Glomerales; Glomeraceae. The record is from RNAcentral.